CGUACACAAAAGCGCAUGUGUUGUGAGCUCGAUGAGUAGGGCGGGACACGUGGUAUCCUGUCUGAAUAUGGGGGGACCAUCCUCCAAGGCUAAAUACUCCUGACUGACCGAUAGUGAACCAGUACCGUGAGGGAAAGGCGAAAAGAACCCCGGCGAGGGGAGUGAAAAAGAACCUGAAACCGUGUACGUACAAGCAGUGGGAGCCCCACCACUAAGCCAGUGGUGAACUCCACAUACGCAUCCUUUGCUGAAGGUGCGGUUAACGGAGCGCAAGCGACGUUCAACCUCAAAAGAAGCAGAGGGGGCUUAGUGGUGGGGUGACUGCGUACCUUUUGUAUAAUGGGUCAGCGACUUAUAUUCUGUAGCAAGGUUAACCGCAUAGGGGAGCCGGAGGGAAA
RNAcentral lists this ribosomal RNA (398 nucleotides) under Salmonella enterica subsp. enterica serovar Kentucky. RNAcentral's name for it is "bacterial LSU rRNA". It matches the Rfam family "Bacterial large subunit ribosomal RNA", at positions 374 to 676 of the family's 2925-position model. Lineage: Bacteria; Pseudomonadati; Pseudomonadota; Gammaproteobacteria; Enterobacterales; Enterobacteriaceae. The record is from RNAcentral.